RNAcentral lists this ribosomal RNA (272 nucleotides) under uncultured prokaryote. RNAcentral's name for it is "partial 16S ribosomal RNA". It matches the Rfam family "Bacterial small subunit ribosomal RNA", at positions 524 to 796 of the family's 1533-position model. The record is from RNAcentral.
UACAGAGGUCUCGAGCGUUAGUCGGAAUCACUGGGCUUAAAGCGUACGUAGGCGGACAUGCAGGCGUCGUGUGAAAGCCCUCGGCUCAACCGAGGAAUUGCACGGCGAACCGCAUGUCUUGAGACAAGUAGGGGCGGUCGGAACGAUAGGUGGAGUGGUGAAAUGCGUUGAUAUCUAUCGGAACGCCAAUGGUGAAGACAGGCCGCUGGGCUUGUUCUGACGCUGAGGUACGAAAGCAUGGGUAGCGAACGGGAUUAGAUCCCCUGUAGUCC